Molecule: long non-coding RNA, 4173 nt
Filed under: Equus caballus (horse)
Lineage: Eukaryota; Metazoa; Chordata; Mammalia; Perissodactyla; Equidae
Description: lncRNA (ENSECAG00000059608.1)
Source: RNAcentral
UCUUACUACACCUAUAAAGGUAUUUGUUUUUCCUCCAUUAAAGAAAAUUGUUGUAAACUGGACUUGGCCCGUUUGGUCACUUGCAAUUAUUAGGUUGUUUGGUGGCCUUCAGUAGGUGGAGGUGGGUGAGGGCUGUAGCUGUCCUCUCCCCAACUUCACUAGGUGGUACUUUACACUAAAAUCAGAUUUUGGACCAAUUUCUGCGUCAUUCCUGUUUACAAACAACUGGGCACCAGAACAGACAUCCUUGUAACAAUCAACCUGUCUUGUAAGCUUGAAAAAGUCCCAGCUCUGUCCUUUCGGGAACCCAACAAUACCUUAUAUGAAAGGGUUAUUAGAUGUGAAUCCAGCAAUAUUCCAGCAUAUUCAGUGUCAGAUGACCUGAUUGUGUUUAACUUGUAGACACAGAACAGGUUAGUAAUCUGGGAAUCUCAGGGAUAAUGGGCUUGCUAGAGUCUUACACCCUGUUCGUGGAAGGGCUCGAGUGCCCUGCAGUAGUUGGGUCAAUCCACCUGCCUUUAACACCACUAAUUUGGCUAUUGAAAAUAGUAGCUUAUUAACAAAGUCUCUGAUGUUGAGCUACAGAUAAAGCUCUUGUGGUAGUAGCCUCUGAAGUGACUCGAGCUUUUCACAUGCUAACCAUCAAACUUAAAUGUUAACUAACCACUCCUAGAGUGUAUAUUAUGACUAAUUAACAUCUGCCAAAAUAAUUUAGGUUACACUGGAUAUGACAGAAGUUAUUAAGGAUUCCUGCACUGGGGUGGGGUAGAUGUAUUCACUGCUCUGAAGUCAACCCCCCUGCUGAAUAGAGUGUGACUGGCAUUUCUCCUUGGUGACAGCCUUUACCUUCUGAGUGGGGUGUGUGAGAGAGAGAGACAGACAUACAGGGAUGGAAGUCUACUUAAAAUUUGCAGUUGAAAAUAAUUUUGCAGUUCACACAUACAAGAGAACCCUCACAUCUGCAAAUGUCUCACUAUUUCAGGCUUAUUUCAUUAGGUUUGCUUUAACGUUAUCUCUGCAAAAAUGGUUAGAGGCAGGAACAGAGGGGCCAUAUUUACCUUGACAGCUGAAAGACGUAAAAUAUUAGGUUUAUUUCUACUAUAUUUCCAUUAUUAGUUUAGUUAUUCUUUAUUCAAGUUUCAGCUUGAUUGUGGAGAUUUGGAGCUGAGUAGACUGGAGUAAAAUAAGAUGUCAGAAAUUCAGAUGACACUAAAUGUCUUUUUAUCAUACAUUAUCAACGGAAACCAUGAUGUGGAAGUUCCUUCUAUAUGUCACGGAAAAGGAAACGACCAGGGAUAAAUAAAAGGAUUCUCCAUUCCGAUCUUGGGAAUAAAUCCCAUCAGUCCAUUCCCCAGAAUUCUCAGCAGUGUUUGGGGGCCAAGUCCAUGAUGUGUGUCAGAAUAUACACCCCUCCACACCAAAAGUUUCUAGUUAUAUUCUGUAUUCUUUUCCUCUAGCUGUGAGGUUUAGGGAUAAAUGCCUGAGUUUCAAGGGAACAGAUGUUGUGAAUAUUUAUGGAAAAUAGCAAUGUCUCCAUGAAUUGAAAAUGGGCAGGCCCUGUCCUCUCAAUGCUCCCAUUCGAGAGCUACUUUGUUUACAGUUGCCACUUGCACACGAUUUACACAGGAGACAUGUCAGCUGGAACCAAGGAGAUAAAUUCUUAUACUUAAAAUUAUUAGUAGAUUAUAACUGCCAUCCCAAACAAUCUUCAAUAAACAAAACCCAGCUUUCUGAGAUAGUUGACUCUUUCGCUCCAUCUAGAGGUGGAAGACCAAAUGGUUGCCCUCUUGAGGUUUUCCCAGCCCUGCCAUUUACCGUUUUAUGACCAGGUGCCCUAUGGCCCAGGAGGAUCCUUGGUAACAUGGCCUAAACUGGUUGUAUUUAUUGUCAUGGCAUGGGAUUGGACUAUGAAAGUUGAUUAGAGGAGAGCUUGAGGGAAAGCCUCCCUGGGAAUCCAGAACAUCAGAUUUGCUACACUGGCUUAGCACUGGGGCCCAUCCCGCUACAAAAUGUAUGACAGCCAAAAAGAGAUGAUUUAUGUUUCUCCUCCAGAGGUUAGGAAUGUACUUCAAACAUUCACAGUGUCCUUUAGUAACUCACAGGGGAUCUGUGAAGCCCAGGGUUGCACGUGAUUUUCUAAGUGAAGGAACACCAUUGUUUUGGUUUUCAAUAUUCUUUCCAAUAACGACCGGUAUUUCUUUUAAUCCGCCCUAACACAUUGAUCAGGCUAAAUUAAAUUCCUCUCUUAAGCUGUGUUGACGGCUCAGUAUCCAUCCUAUUUUAACUACAGGCAGCAGUAUUUAGUCCUAAAUGCAUUAGUUUGCACUUGCUCACACUGUGGCUCAUUUAUGCCUCUGCUUUUUCACGUGGUCCUAUGAGAACUUAUCAUGUAUAUUCGGCUGAGCACUUCAAUACCCAGAAGAGCAUUCGGCAUCUUAGGUUUCAUUGUGUACUUGAAAUUCCAAGUCCUUUGUAAAAAAAAAUGUUAAGUAGCUGGUGUUGCUACUGGAUCCCUAGAUUAUUCCACUUGUCCAUCCCGAAAAGUUCCUGUUUAUCCUCUGCCUUCUGUUUCUAUUUCUAAGCCCAUGCUUUAAGACAUAACAUCUGCCGCAGCCUGUUCCCUCUCCACGUGGUCUUAACCUCUUAGCUUCUUUACUUCUCACUUUCACCCCUGUAAAUUAGUACUCUCUACCUCACAGGGGUUUUAGGGAGGGAAAAAUAGGAUGUUUAAGGGUUGUCUUCAAGAGAGGUCCUACUUUUAGAGUGAUUUUAUAAACGCCUCUUGGCUUAGAAAUGAGAAACUCUAUAGCUAUUAUUUUUUUCCUAUUCUUGUUUAGCUAUUUUUAUUUCUGAAAAGUGAUCUCUGUCUAAAUAAUGUUUUUACUCUGGUUUUGACUUUCUUCCCAUUAACCCUUUUCUCACUAACUCCUACCUUACCCAUGCUCUGAACUUUUUACGUACAGAGCCAGAACGAAUUCUCUCCCAACAAAUCCCACAUAGUUUUACUUCCAUCAUGGAGCAAGUUAAUGUCCUCUGUAAAGAGACAUCUGGCUAAUGAUCUCAUUUGGCCCUGGCAAGAUCUCACCACGUGCCUUGGUUCUCCCUGUAUAAACUGAGGUUAGUUCUGCUAUUUCACAGCACAUGGGUGUUGUGAGUCCUAACUAAUAAAUAGUGAAAAGCAUUUUGUAAAUGCCCUGUACCAUAUAAAUGCAUAGUGAAUAAUCUGGAGAGUCUUCAAGGAGAAAUGUGUUCUUGUGUAGCUCAAUUCGCCUAUUUUUAAAAGAAAUAUUUUACUAACCUGUUUUUUUUUUUUAAGUGAAAAUUAGUUUCUAGUCAUUUGAACUAUUUUUAUUUUGAUGUAUAGGAAUAAAUCAAUAGUAUAUAUUCUUGCUUGUCAGAAAACACCCAAGUUGUAUUUUAAGUGUUAAAACUGAAAGGGUUGCAUAACAAUGUAGUGGAGCAGGGGGAGGAUUCUAGCUCAAAUGUGGUGAAAUAGAGAACUAUGAAGAUUAAGUGUGAUUUUGAGAUUGUAUUAUAAAUAGUAGAUGUUAAUGUAGUUGUUUUUUAGAUAUUCUUUAUUUUUGAGUUACCAGAAAUUGUCUUUUAUUUUUGCAGUUUUGAACUAUAUCGUUCCUGAUGUGUUUUGAAUAAAGUUUUUAUCAACUAAAGUUUUUCAUUUACAUUAUUAUCAAUAAAUCAAUUAUGAUUAAAAUACAUGUAAAAAUUAAUAACCUAAUUACAUAACUAUAAAAUUCAAGAUCUGAAGAACAUCUUUUAUCAAAAGGGUAAGUUUCUACACUGGAGUCGUUUUAUCAAAAAGAUUUUAAAAAUAGUAACCAAAGUACUUUUAUACUUCAAGCAGUAUUGGAAAUGUUUUUUUAAACAUGUAACAAGUUACAUGUUAUGAUAAUUUCUUUGAAAAUUGCGUAAUAGUUUUUUUUUAUGAAGCUAAAUUUAUUCCACUUAAAGAAUUGUUCUUCAUGCCUGAUUAAUCCUUAGGUGUUAAAAUGUACUUCCUCGUGAAAUGAUUUUGGUACUAGAUGGUAACUUCUUAAGUGUUAUUAUGGCAUCUAUGAUGGAUCCUUGAAUUUUGUUUUAGGAAUGGAAGCUUUACUGGUCUGUGAAAUCUCAAAGUCUGGGAACCACUUUAAUAAAAAAAACCUUUUAUUGAGA